Molecule: long non-coding RNA, 317 nt
Organism: Macrobrachium nipponense
Lineage: Eukaryota; Metazoa; Arthropoda; Malacostraca; Decapoda; Palaemonidae
Exons: 3
Source: RefSeq, a predicted model, not a curated record
GUAUAGUGGAAGGUUCUGUUUUGUCAGUUCACUGACAGAGGUCCUAUAGGUGACACCGUGACAGUGUAGUUCAAGACUAGGAAGUGUUCGUGUAAACAAGUACUUGCAGAAAUGAAGAAAGGAUUUGGGAGGAUGGCUACAAGCUGUGUUUGUGUUCCAUCUUUUUGGAUUGUUAGAAACGCAUGAUGGACGAGGAAGCAAGACGCAAGCCUUGUUGGUCCGUCUAGGACUAGGUCUGCAAUUUCAAUGCGUUGGGACGAACCUUCACCAUUCAGCUUUCUAGACCUUCCUAAUUCCUGACCCAUAUCGUCUGUAAA